GUCCGCACAGUAAACGAUGAUAACUAGAUGUUUGCGAUAUACAGUAAGCGUCCAAGCGAAAGCGAUAAGUUAUCCACCUGGGGAGUACGCCGGCAACGGUGAAACUCAAAGGAAUUGACGGGGGCCCGCACAAGCGGAGGAGCAUGUGGUUUAAUUCGAUGAUACGCGAGGAACCUUACCAGGGCUUGAAAGUUAAGGAAUGAUUAUGAAAGUAGUCAGUCAGCAAUGACCUAAAACUAGGUGCUGCAUGGCUGUCGU
RNAcentral lists this ribosomal RNA (258 nucleotides) under uncultured bacterium. RNAcentral's name for it is "partial 16S ribosomal RNA". It matches the Rfam family "Bacterial small subunit ribosomal RNA", at positions 793 to 1055 of the family's 1533-position model. The record is from RNAcentral.